RNAcentral lists this long non-coding RNA (489 nucleotides) under Salvia miltiorrhiza (redroot sage). RNAcentral describes it as "long non-coding RNA (SMIL_LNC003521)". Lineage: Eukaryota; Viridiplantae; Streptophyta; Magnoliopsida; Lamiales; Lamiaceae. The record is from RNAcentral.
AUUGGGUGGCUUACCUUUUCAGAGGUGUUAUGGGAUUUAGAGGUUUGCCUUCUUUUGAUGCCCCUCUUUGCUUUCCACCGUGUGGGGAUAGGAUGAGCCAUGAGGUAUCGUCGAGCUCUAGACGUAAAAUUAAGCACUUGUUGGGAGGUAACCCAACUGUUUUUCUUUGUUUUGUUUUUCGUUAUUUUAGUUUCGUUUUGUUUCUUUUUGUUUCUUUGUUUUGUUUUGGGGUUUUAGUGCAGUGUUGAGCUUGGAAGAUGCGGGAACUCGCGCCCUGUUCAUAUCACCACCGUGGAGCAUGUGUUUCUGUGAGUAGUGACACACAUAUCAUCAUCCCUCCAAACUUAUUUUCGAACUUAUGUUCUGUAAUAAGUUUGGGGGAGGGGGGUGAGAGUAGAUAUGUGUAUCACUUUUAUCUUUUUGUUAGCUUUAUUGUUUUAUCCUGCUUGGUUGGUGGUGUGUGUUUUUGUUUUGAGAUGUUUAUUGCUC